Long non-coding RNA from Amphiprion ocellaris (clown anemonefish), 788 nucleotides. NCBI's taxonomy places the organism in Eukaryota, Metazoa, Chordata, Actinopteri, Pomacentridae. The record is from Ensembl.
UGUCUCUGGUUGCCUGGUUACAGAUGCUGCUGCACCCGCACGUUUAAAAAUGUCUACACCUGAAACUCCACCACGUCUAAAGAAGCAAAAACGUUUGCAAAUGUACAGACUGGAGUGGGAAGAGUGGAACCCCUGGCAAUGGAUACAAGGCAAACUGUGUUUUCUGUUGCUCAUGGACUGGCUGAAGUAAGGCAGCAUCAGGAGACAAACAUGGAGGAAAUAUGAGAACAGAGAGAACCCAACCAGCAGGUCACAGUUUAUCAUCAUCUAAUCAUCUCCUGAAGUCCAUAUGACAUCCACCAACCACUGGAACACAUCUCCAAAGUUCUGCCGGGCCAGCUCAGCUUCCCCUCAGAAGAAGUUCCACCAGAUGAAGGAGCCUUUUGAGAGGCAGCUGGCAUCGUGAUUGGACUGUACUUUGGUCUGUUCCAAUCCAGCUUCAGCUCCAGAGACGGCAGGCGGGACGAGUCAACGGAGGCCGGGUGGACGAAGGCAUGAAGCUGAGUACAAUCCAGAAAACAACAGAGGAGGAGUGCAGCUGCCCAGGGCCAGAACAAACAGAGUAGCAUCGUAUGUCUCUUAGAAAACAUCAUAGUAGAGCCUUUGGUAUGAAAAAACACCAUCAUAUACAUCGUAUAUUGUACAAAUAACAAGUCAAAGGAAAGAGACAUACAUUGUAGAAUUGUAGUAAUUGUGGGCUGACUGAUUUACUGAUUAUCAGUAUUUUAUUUUUUACUGAUUUACGGUAAUAAAUACAUUUAAAAAUGGCGCUACUUUGGCUCUGAACC